Molecule: ribosomal RNA, 408 nt
Filed under: uncultured bacterium
Lineage: Bacteria
Description: bacterial SSU rRNA
Rfam family: Bacterial small subunit ribosomal RNA
Source: RNAcentral
AACGAACGCUGGCGGCGCGCCUAAUACAUGCAAGUCGAGCGAGAAGACGUAGCAAUACGUUUGUAAAGCGGCGAACGGGUGAGGAAUACAUGGGUAACCUACCCUCGAGUGGGGAAUAACUAGCCGAAAGGUUAGCUAAUACCGCGUACGCUUCUUGGACUUCGGUUCAGGGAGGAAAGCGAUACCGUGGGUAUCGCGCUCUUGGAUGGGCUCAUGUCCUAUCAGCUUGUUGGGAGGUAACGGCUCACCAAGGCUUCGACGGGUAGCUGGUCUGAGAGGACGAUCAGCCACACUGGCACUGCGACACGGGCCAGACUCCUACGGGAGGCAGCAGUAAGGAUAUUGCGCAAUGGGCGAAAGCCUGACGCAGCGACGCCGCGUGGGGGAUGAAGGUCUUCGGAUUGUAAA